This 247-nucleotide ribosomal RNA is filed under the name uncultured Bdellovibrio sp. RNAcentral describes it as "partial 16S ribosomal RNA". It matches the Rfam family "Bacterial small subunit ribosomal RNA", at positions 796 to 1041 of the family's 1533-position model. The record is from RNAcentral. Lineage: Bacteria; Pseudomonadati; Bdellovibrionota; Bdellovibrionia; Bdellovibrionales; Pseudobdellovibrionaceae.
CACGCCGUAAACGAUGGACACUUGUUGUUGGAGGUAUUGACCCCUUCAGUGACGAAGCUAACGCGUUAAGUGUCCCGCCUGGGGAGUACGGCCGCAAGGUUAAAACUCAAAGAAAUUGACGGGGGCCCGCACAAGCGGUGGAGCAUGUGGUUUAAUUCGAUGCAACGCGCAGAACCUUACCUAGAUUUGACAUAAAAUGGAAGACUGGCAGAAAUGUCGUCGCCCGCAAGGGCCGUUUUACAGGUGC